AGAAAGUUAGUCUAACUAAGAC
RNAcentral lists this transfer RNA (22 nucleotides) under Spinus atratus (black siskin). RNAcentral's name for it is "partial tRNA-Arg". The record is from RNAcentral. Lineage: Eukaryota; Metazoa; Chordata; Aves; Passeriformes; Fringillidae.